Long non-coding RNA from Monopterus albus (swamp eel), 550 nucleotides. RefSeq lists it as uncharacterized. The record is from RefSeq and is a predicted model, not a curated record. Lineage: Eukaryota; Metazoa; Chordata; Actinopteri; Synbranchiformes; Synbranchidae. The transcript has 4 exons.
UCUUUCCAGUGACAGAUGGAUUUGAGACCUUGCAGGGCGUCAUUGAUUCAAUCCUAAAGAAGUCCUGUACCGAGAUCCUGGCAGCAGAGCCCUCUAGUGUCUGUGCUGGAGAGUCCUUCCAGGUAGUGGUGAGAAGCAACGUUUUCCUCCACGCACGAAAUGUUGAUGAAGUCCUACGCAGCUUCAGAAUCAACAACGCCCUCACGAAAACCUGUAAAUAAGACAAAGGAGUAACUACCACACAUGAAGCAGGGGGAAGGAAACAGCUUCAGGUUUAUUGUAUGAGUUGUGAAAACCUUUUCCUACCACGCACACCACAGUACCCAAAUAAAAAUAAAAUGUCUGCUCUUUUGAUGUGGAAGAGAUGAGCAAAUGUUUCUUUAUUAAUGUGAUGGGUACUCAUGUUAGUGCAGCCUCAUGUUUCAAUCAAAGUUGGAAUAUUUUAAUUGACCACAGCUUUAUAGCUUAUUAUAUUUGUAAAAGUAUUUGUCAGUUGUAUUUGUUUCCAUCCAAGUGGUCUGUCUUGAUGUUUGAGAAAGGAUAUUGCAAU